RNAcentral lists this ribosomal RNA (277 nucleotides) under uncultured bacterium. Its description in RNAcentral is "partial 16S ribosomal RNA". It matches the Rfam family "Bacterial small subunit ribosomal RNA", at positions 335 to 600 of the family's 1533-position model. The record is from RNAcentral.
ACUCCUACGGGAGGCAGCAGUGGGGAAUAUUGCACAAUGGGGAAACCCGUAGCAUGCAGCCAUGCCGCGUGUGUGAAGAAGGCCUUCGGGUUGUAAAGCACUUUCAGUAGGGAGGAAGGUAGUGUAGUUAACACCUGCACUAUUUGACGUUACCUACAGAGAAGCACCGCUAACGUCCGUAGCCAGCCAGCCGCGGGUAAUACGGAGGGUGCGAGCGUUAAUCGGAAUUACUGGGCGUAAAGCGCAUGCAGGCGGCCUGUUAAGUCAGAUGUGAAAG